Molecule: ribosomal RNA, 515 nt
Filed under: Trichodina rectuncinata
Lineage: Eukaryota; Ciliophora; Oligohymenophorea; Mobilida; Trichodinidae
Description: SSU rRNA
Rfam family: Eukaryotic small subunit ribosomal RNA
Source: RNAcentral
AAAGGAAUUGACGGAAGGGCACCACCAGGAGUGGAGCCUGCGGCUUAAUUUGACUCAACACGGGGAAACUUACCAGGUCAAAACGUGGGUGUGAUGGACAGAUUGAGAGCUCUUUCUUGAUUCUACGGGUGGUGGUGCAUGGCCGUUCUUAGUUGGUGGAGUGAUUUGUCAGGUUAAUUCCUUUAACGAACGAGACCUUAACCUGCUAACUAGCACCCCGUCUCAACGGAAGGUGCUUCUUAGAGGGACUGUGCGAGCCUAUCGCACGGAAGUUUGAGGCAAUAACAGGUCUGUGAUGCCCUUAGAUGUCCUGGGCCGCACGCGCGCUACAAUGGCACACGCAGCGAGUAUCCUGAUCCGAAGGGAACCGGGUAACCUGCCAGGGUGUGCCGUGAUUGGGAUCGACCCUUGCAAUUAUGGGUCGUGAACGAGGAAUUCCUAGUAAGCGCAAGUCAUCAGCUUGCGCUGAUUACGUCCCUGCCCUUUGUACACACCGCCCGUCGCUCCUACCGAUU